UGUAAGCGUAUACCAAAGUUGUUGCAGUUAAAACGCUCGUAGUCGGAAUUUGGCAGUUCCGGAUGUGUGCACGUCGUGUGCGCACUUCGCGGGGAUUGCUUUUGUGGUCUUGCGUAGGAUGAGGCACUUUUAUUAGUGAACGUCCUCACGCAACCACUUUUUACUGUGAGAAAAUCAGAGUGCUCAAAGCAGGCAUUUGCCGUGAAUGUAUUAGCAUGGAAUAAUAGAAUAGGACUUGGUUCCAUUUUGUUGGUUUGUUGGGACUGAGUAAUGAUUAAGAGGGACAGUUGGGGGCAUUUGUAUUUCGGUGCUAGAGGUGAAAUUCUUAGAUUACCGAAAGACAAACUGCUGCGAAAGCGUCUGCCAAGGAUGUUUUCAUUGA
RNAcentral lists this ribosomal RNA (382 nucleotides) under uncultured eukaryote. RNAcentral describes it as "partial 18S ribosomal RNA". It matches the Rfam family "Eukaryotic small subunit ribosomal RNA", at positions 592 to 976 of the family's 1831-position model. The record is from RNAcentral.